AGUGAACGCUGGCGGUAGGCCUAACACAUGCAAGUCGAACGGCAGCACAGUAAGAGCUUGCUCUUACGGGUGGCGAGUGGCGGACGGGUGAGGAAUACAUCGGAAUCUACUUUUUCGUGGGGGAUAACGUAGGGAAACUUACGCUAAUACCGCAUACGACCUACGGGUGAAAGCAGGGGAUCUUCGGACCUUGCGCGAUUGAAUGAGCCGAUGUCGGAUUAGCUAGUUGGCGGGGUAAAGGCCCACCAAGGCGACGAUCCGUAGCUGGUCUGAGAGGAUGAUCAGCCACACUGGAACUGAGACACGGUCCAGACUCCUACGGGAGGCAGCAGUGGGGAAUAUUAGACAAUGGGCGCAAGCCUGACCCAGCCAUACCGCGUGGGUGAAGAAGGCCUUCGGGUUGUAAAGCCCUUUUGUUGGGAAAGAAAAGCAGCAGGUUAAUACCCCGCUGUUCUGACGGUACCCAAAGAAUAAGCACCGGCUAACUUCGUG
This 492-nucleotide ribosomal RNA is filed under the name uncultured bacterium. RNAcentral describes it as "partial 16S ribosomal RNA". It matches the Rfam family "Bacterial small subunit ribosomal RNA", at positions 29 to 507 of the family's 1533-position model. The record is from RNAcentral.